AUUCUGACUGUGCGAAGGUAGCAUAAUAAAUUGUCUUUUAAAUGGAGGCUUGAAUGAAAGGUUGGACAAAGUGUCAUCUGUUUCUUAAAUAUUUAUUGAAUUUGACUUUCAAGUGAAAAGGCUUGAAUAAAUUAAAAAGACGAUAAGACCCUAUAAAUCUUUACAAUAAACAUGUUUUAUAUUUUAAUUUAUAAGUUUAUAAAAUAUUAAAUUUGUAGUUGUUCCGCUGGGGCGGCGUGGAUAUAUAAAUAAACUGUCUAUAURUUAAACUCAAUAAUCAUUGAUUAAUAAGAUUGAUCCUUAAAUAGAUUAAAAGAUUAAGAUACUUUAGGGAUAACAGCGUUAUUUUUUUUGAGAGUUCCU
RNAcentral lists this ribosomal RNA (363 nucleotides) under Pagurus middendorffii. Its description in RNAcentral is "partial 16S ribosomal RNA". Lineage: Eukaryota; Metazoa; Arthropoda; Malacostraca; Decapoda; Paguridae. The record is from RNAcentral.